UACGAAGGGUGCAAGCGUUACUCGGAAUUACUGGGCGUAAAGCGUGCGUAGGUGGUUUGUUAAGUCUGAUGUGAAAGCCCUGGGCUCAACCUGGGAAUGGCAUUGGAUACUGGCGAGCUAGAGUGCGGUAGAGGGUAGUGGAAUUCCCGGUGUAGCAGUGAAAUGCGUAGAUAUGUGGAGGAACACCUGUGGCGAAGGCGCCUUGCUGGCCAAUUUCUGACGCUGAGGCGCGAAAGCGUGGGGAGCAAACAGG
RNAcentral lists this ribosomal RNA (253 nucleotides) under uncultured bacterium. RNAcentral describes it as "partial 16S ribosomal RNA". It matches the Rfam family "Bacterial small subunit ribosomal RNA", at positions 524 to 776 of the family's 1533-position model. The record is from RNAcentral.